RNAcentral lists this non-coding RNA (255 nucleotides) under Ruminococcus sp. RNAcentral describes it as "T-box sequence". It matches the Rfam family "T-box leader". Rfam says of the family: Uncharged tRNA acts as the effector for transcription antitermination of genes in the T-box leader family. T-boxes are found upstream of many aminoacyl-tRNA synthetase genes and some amino acid biosynthetic genes usually in Gram-positive bacteria. Lineage: Bacteria; Bacillati; Bacillota; Clostridia; Eubacteriales; Oscillospiraceae. The record is from RNAcentral.
AAACAGGCAGAGAAAAGAAGAAGUAGCAACAAAUCAGGUUCGUACAGAAAGUAACCGGCUGAUGAGAGGUGCAGGAAAAGUUUGUUGUGAAUACAUCUUGGAGCUUCACACCGAAAGGGAAGUAGGCUGUGACGUCAGGCACACGUUACCGUGCCGGGAGAUUUCCGGGGUCCUUUUGGAUCAGGAGAUGUCCUGUUAAGCCGGAGCUGUUCCGGGAAUUAAGGUGGUACCACGAGUUUUCCCCUCGUCCUUUCU